RNAcentral lists this ribosomal RNA (92 nucleotides) under uncultured bacterium. RNAcentral's name for it is "partial 16S ribosomal RNA". It matches the Rfam family "Bacterial small subunit ribosomal RNA", at positions 1413 to 1500 of the family's 1533-position model. The record is from RNAcentral.
UGCAAUGCCCGAAGCCGGUGGCCUAACCACUUAUGUGGAAGGAGCCGUCUAAGGCAGGGCAGAUGACUGGGGUGAAGUCGUAACAAGGUAUC